RNAcentral lists this unclassified non-coding RNA (420 nucleotides) under Hevea brasiliensis (rubber tree). The record is from RNAcentral. Lineage: Eukaryota; Viridiplantae; Streptophyta; Magnoliopsida; Malpighiales; Euphorbiaceae.
CUCUGUCCCCGAUCCACCUCAUUCGUAAGAAUUUUAGAGAUUAAUUAAUAAAUUUUAUGAAAAUCUAGUGACCUUACAGUAAUUUACCCAAUAUUAUCGCUGGGUCGAUUCCGAGGUUUCCUCAGUCGCUAACAAGAAGUCCAGAUAGAAAUAGAUUGCUGAAUGGAUCUUCCAGUCCGUAGUAGAUUUCUCACCUUCUUGUUCUCUUGCAUUACAACAACCACCUAAUCUUGGUAACUGUAGAGUGUGGAUUCUAGUCAGUAUCCAUGUCUACAGAAAACACAGAGCGUCGCGACCUCCUUCUGCUCAUCCUCUUGUUCUUCGUCUUCAAGAAAUCAUAUGCUCUUGUUCCAAAUCAAUUCAAGGUGGAGAUGGAAGUUCAGUGUGGGAGUUAGUCGAUUUCCUCGAAACAAUCUCGGG